UCAGACGAACGCUGGCGGCGUGCCUAAUACAUGCAAGUCGAGCGGACAGAUGGGAGCUUGCUCCCUGAUGUUAGCGGCGGACGGGUGAGUAACACGUGGGUAACCUGCCUGUAAGACUGGGAUAACUCCGGGAAACCGGGGCUAAUACCGGAUGGUUGUUUGAACCGCAUGGUUCAAACAUAAAAGGUGGCUUCGGCUACCACUUACAGAUGGACCCGCGGCGCAUUAGCUAGUUGGUGAGGUAACGGCUCACCAAGGCAACGAUGCGUAGCCGACCUGAGAGGGUGAUCGGCCACACUGGGACUGAGACACGGCCCAGACUCCUACGGGAGGCAGCAGUAGGGAAUCUUCCGCAAUGGACGAAAGUCUGACGGAGCAACGCCGCGUGAGUGAUGAAGGUUUUCGGAUCGUAAAGCUCUGUUGUUAGGGAAGAACAAGUACCGUUCGAAUAGGGCGGUACCUUGACGGUACCUAACCAGAAAGCCACGGCUAACUACGUGCCAGCAGCCGCGGUAAUACGUAGGUGGCAAGCGUUGUCCGGAAUUAUUGGGCGUAAAGGGCUCGCAGGCGGUUUCUUAAGUCUGAUGUGAAAGCCCCCGGCUCAACCGGGGAGGGUCAUUGGAAACUGGGGAACUUGAGUGCAGAAGAGGAGAGUGGAAUUCCACGUGUAGCGGUGAAAUGCGUAGAGAUGUGGAGGAACACCAGUGGCGAAGGCGACUCUCUGGUCUGUAACUGACGCUGAGGAGCGAAAGCGUGGGGAGCGAACAGGAUUAGAUACCCUGGUAGUCCACGCCGUAAACGAUGAGUGCUAAGUGUUAGGGGGUUUCCGCCCCUUAGUGCUGCAGCUAACGCAUAAGCACUCCGCCUGG
Molecule: ribosomal RNA, 869 nt
Filed under: Bacillus subtilis
Lineage: Bacteria; Bacillati; Bacillota; Bacilli; Caryophanales; Bacillaceae
Description: bacterial SSU rRNA
Rfam family: Bacterial small subunit ribosomal RNA
Source: RNAcentral